RNAcentral lists this ribosomal RNA (165 nucleotides) under Orobanche coerulescens. RNAcentral's name for it is "5.8S ribosomal RNA". It matches the Rfam family "5.8S ribosomal RNA". From Rfam's summary of the family: 5.8S ribosomal RNA (5.8S rRNA) is a component of the large subunit of the eukaryotic ribosome. It is transcribed by RNA polymerase I as part of the 45S precursor that also contains 18S and 28S rRNA. Functionally, it is thought that 5.8S rRNA may be involved in ribosome translocation. Lineage: Eukaryota; Viridiplantae; Streptophyta; Magnoliopsida; Lamiales; Orobanchaceae. The record is from RNAcentral.
AAAUGACUCUCGGCAACGGAUAUCUCGGCUCUCGUAUCGAUGAAGAACGUAGCGAAAUGCGAUACUUGGUGUGAAUUGCAGAAUCCCGUGAACCAUCGAGUCUUUGAACGCAAGUUGCGCCCGAAGUCUUAUGGCUAAGGGCACGUCUGCCUGGGCGUCACACAU